RNAcentral lists this ribosomal RNA (253 nucleotides) under uncultured bacterium. RNAcentral's name for it is "partial 16S ribosomal RNA". It matches the Rfam family "Bacterial small subunit ribosomal RNA", at positions 524 to 776 of the family's 1533-position model. The record is from RNAcentral.
UACGUAGGGGACCAGCGUUGUCCGGAUUUACUGGGCGUAAAGAGCGCGCAGGCGGUCGUUCAAGUCGAGUGUGAAAGCCCCCGGCUCAACUGGGGAGGGUCACUCGAUACUGAUCGACUUGAAGGCAGGAGAGGGAAGCGGAAUUCCCGGUGUAGUGGUGAAAUGCGUAGAUAUCGGGAGGAACACCAGUGGCGAAGGCGGUUCUCUGGGCAUUACCUGACGCUGAGGAGCGAAAGUGUGGGGAGCGAACAGG